This 253-nucleotide ribosomal RNA is filed under the name uncultured bacterium. Its description in RNAcentral is "partial 16S ribosomal RNA". It matches the Rfam family "Bacterial small subunit ribosomal RNA", at positions 524 to 776 of the family's 1533-position model. The record is from RNAcentral.
UACGUAGGGGGCAAGCGUUGUCCGGAUUUAUUGGGCGUAAAGAGCGUGUAGGCGGCCGUACAGGUCAGCUGUGAAAACUCGAGGCUCAACCUCGAGACGUCGGUUGAAACCGUACGGCUAGAGUCCGGAAGAGGAGGGUGGAAUUCCCGGUGUAGCGGUGAAAUGCGCAGAUAUCGGGAAGAACACCCGUGGCGAAGGCGGCUCUCUGGGACGGUACUGACGCUGAGACGCGAAAGCGUGGGGAGCGAACAGG